Molecule: ribosomal RNA, 253 nt
Filed under: uncultured bacterium
Lineage: Bacteria
Description: partial 16S ribosomal RNA
Rfam family: Bacterial small subunit ribosomal RNA
Source: RNAcentral
GACGAGGGAUCCUAGCGUUGUUCGGAAUCAUUGGGCGUAAAGCGGGUGUAGGCGGUCUUAUAAGUCAGGUGUGAAAUCCCAGGGCUCAACCCUGGAAGUGCACUUGAUACUGUAGGACUUGAGUGUGGUAGAGGUUACUGGAAUUCCUGGUGUAGUGGUAAAAUACGUAGAUAUCAGGAGGAAUACCGGAGGCGAAGGCGGGUAACUGGGCCAACACUGACGCUGAGAUCCGAAAGCGUGGGGAUCAAACAGG